GUCUACGGUCAUACCACCUUGUACACACACGUCUCAUCUGACCUUGGAAGCUAAGCAGGGUUGGCCCUGGUUAGUAUAUGGAUGGGGUAAACAAACGAUGGAUCGUGUUUG
This 111-nucleotide ribosomal RNA is filed under the name Jaculus jaculus (lesser Egyptian jerboa). Lineage: Eukaryota; Metazoa; Chordata; Mammalia; Rodentia; Dipodidae. The record is from RNAcentral.